This 465-nucleotide ribosomal RNA is filed under the name uncultured bacterium. RNAcentral describes it as "partial 16S ribosomal RNA". It matches the Rfam family "Bacterial small subunit ribosomal RNA", at positions 28 to 507 of the family's 1533-position model. The record is from RNAcentral.
GACGAACGCUGGCGGCGCGCUUAACACGUGCAAGUCGUACGGUAAGGCCCUUUCGGGGGUACACGAGUGGCGAACGGGUGAGUAACACGUGAGUAACCUGCCCACAACUUUGGGAUAACGCUAGGAAACUGGUGCUAAUACUGGAUAUGUGCUCCUGCUGCAUGGUGGGGGUUGGAAAGCUCCGGCGGUUGUGGAUGGACUCGCGGCCUAUCAGCUUGUUGGUGGGGUAGUGGCCUACCAAGGCGGCGACGGGUAGCCGGCCUGAGAGGGUGACCGGCCACAUUGGGACUGAGAUACGGCCCAGACUCCUACGGGAGGCAGCAGUGGGGAAUAUUGCACAAUGGGCGCAAGCCUGAUGCAGCGACGCCGCGUGCGGGAUAACGGCCUUCGGGUUGUAAACCGCUUCCAGCAGGGACGAAGCUUUUUGUGACGGUACCUGCAGAAGAAGCACCGGCUAACUACGUG